GCCGGCAGUGGCGUAGCGGGUAAAUCUACGUUCUGGCGCACUGUAGGGGUGCCCGGGUUCGAAUCCCGGCGCUGGCA
Non-coding RNA from Blastomyces silverae, 77 nucleotides. The record is from the annotation of a GenBank genome assembly. NCBI's taxonomy places the organism in Eukaryota, Fungi, Ascomycota, Eurotiomycetes, Onygenales, Ajellomycetaceae.